UUCCUUUAAAUACUGUACCUCCGGUCGUAUAUUGUGUUUGCCGGUUCGCCGGCUAUGGCGAUAAACGUGCUGUGAAAUAAGCAGAGCGGACCCGGGGGCGGUACCCGGCGCCUCCACCAUUUUAGCUGUAGGCUUACCCGAAAUUGACAGACGGAUAUCUCCGAUCUGUUGGACAGCUGAAAGACUGGGGGCGAAACAGGAUCGACGCAUGUGGUAAAGGCAGUAUUUUCGCUCGGUAUGGUACCCGCCGUUAUCGGGCCAUGUAGUAGUUG
RNAcentral lists this transfer-messenger RNA (272 nucleotides) under Alphaproteobacteria bacterium. RNAcentral describes it as "partial transfer-messenger RNA". It matches the Rfam family "Alphaproteobacteria transfer-messenger RNA", at positions 1 to 232 of the family's 355-position model. Rfam says of the family: Bacterial tmRNA, also known as 10Sa RNA or SsrA, is named for its dual tRNA and mRNA-like properties. Lineage: Bacteria; Pseudomonadati; Pseudomonadota; Alphaproteobacteria. The record is from RNAcentral.